AUGGAGAUGCAGCCUCUGCUGACCUUGCCGCUGGAGGCUGAACGUGGGCGCAGCGUCGCGCGGCACCCCUCACCACGCGCUGCCCGGCGUCGGUCUCAGGAGAGCCUCACGCCACCAGUCUCGCCUCCGCUGUCGCCAACUACCGUCCUUCCGCCGUCUCCGAGGUCCAUGAGGAAUGAAGCCCGGUCGGCUGCGGUUGUGCCGAACAUGCCAAGCCCGGCGCUGCUCGAGCUUUGCUCGCCCCAGAUGCUGAUGCUGCCUGUUCCGUCGCCUUCCAGGCCGCCGGGGUUUGAGGCCUCCCCAACGCCACCCCUGUUGUCCAGUGGGCUGCUGCGCCGCACUCCUUCGCCCGUGCGGCAUCGUAGGGCUGCUGUCGGUCGGUCGGCCUCCAGUGCCUUGCACCCCUGUUUGAAGAUCGCCAGGAAGCCAUCCUGCCCACACCCACCCCUGCUCCAACGCCACCCCGAGCUCCUGCUGCACGCAGGAAAACCAUGGCUGGUGUGA
RNAcentral lists this ribosomal RNA (504 nucleotides) under Triticum aestivum (bread wheat). RNAcentral's name for it is "partial small subunit ribosomal RNA". Lineage: Eukaryota; Viridiplantae; Streptophyta; Magnoliopsida; Poales; Poaceae. The record is from RNAcentral.